RNAcentral lists this ribosomal RNA (413 nucleotides) under uncultured microorganism. Its description in RNAcentral is "bacterial SSU rRNA". It matches the Rfam family "Archaeal small subunit ribosomal RNA", at positions 459 to 872 of the family's 1478-position model. The record is from RNAcentral.
CAGCCGCGCGGUAAUACCGGCGGCCCGAGUGGCGGUCACUAUUAUUGGGCUUAAAGCGUCCGUAGCCGGGUUGGGAAGUCCUCCGGGAAAUCUGGCCGCUUAACGGUCAGAAUGCCGGAGGAUACUCCCAGCCUAGGGAGCGGGAGAGGCCGAGGGUAUUCCCGGAGUAGGGGCGAAAUCCUAUAAUCCCAGGAGGACCACCAGUGGCGAAGGCGCCCGGCUGGCACGCGCCCGACGGUGAGGGACGAAAGCUGGGGGAGCAAAGGGGAUUAGAUACCCCCGUAGUCCCAGCUGUAAACGAUGCGGGCUAGAUGUUGGGCGGGCCUCGAGCCCGCCCAGUGUCGUAGGGAAGCCGUUAAGCCCGCCGCCUGGGGAGUACGGCCGCAAGGCUGAAACUUAAAGGAAUUGGCGGG